GGUCUUAGCUUGCUAAGGCUGAUGGCGACCGGCGCACGGGUGAGUAACACGUAUCCAACCUGCCGUCUACUCUUGGCCAGCCUUCUGAAAGGAAGAUUAAUCCAGGAUGGCAUCAUGAGUUCACAUGUCCGCAUGAUUAAAGGUAUUUUCCGGUAGACGAUGGGGAUGCGUUCCAUUAGAUAGUAGGCGGGGUAACGGCCCACCUAGUCAACGAUGGAUAGGGGUUCUGAGAGGAAGGUCCCCCACAUUGGAACUGAGACACGGUCCAAACUCCUACGGGAGGCAGCAGUGAGGAAUAUUGGUCAAUGGGCGAUGGCCUGAACCAGCCAAGUAGCGUGAAGGAUGACUGCCCUAUGGGUUGUAAACUUCUUUUAUAAAGGAAUAAAGUCGGGUAUGCACACCCGUUUGCAUGUACUUUAUGAAUAAGGAUCGGCUAACUCCGUGCCAGCAGCCGCGGUAAUACGGAGGAUCCGAGCGUUAUCCGGAUUUAUUGGGUUUAAAGGGAGCGUAGAUGGAUGUUUAAGUCAGUUGUGAAAGUUUGCGGCUCAACCGUAAAAUUGCAGUUGAUACUGGAUGUCUUGAGUGCAGUUGAGGCAGGCGGAAUUCGUGGUGUAGCGGUGAAAUGCUUAGAUAUCACGAAGAACUCCGAU
Molecule: ribosomal RNA, 650 nt
Filed under: uncultured Bacteroidales bacterium
Lineage: Bacteria; Pseudomonadati; Bacteroidota; Bacteroidia; Bacteroidales
Description: bacterial SSU rRNA
Rfam family: Bacterial small subunit ribosomal RNA
Source: RNAcentral